UACGAAGGACCCAAGCGUUAUCCGGAUUUAUUGGGUUUAAAGGGUGCGUAGGCGGAUUAAUAAGUCAGUGGUGAAAGCCUCCCGCUUAACGGGAGAAUUGCCAUUGAUACUGUUAGUCUUGAGUAUGGUUGAGGUGGGCGGAAUGUGUCAUGUAGCGGUGAAAUGCUUAGAUAUGACACAGAACACCAAUUGCGAAGGCAGCUCGCUAAACCAUAACUGACGCUGAGGCACGAAAGCGUGGGGAGCAAACAGG
RNAcentral lists this ribosomal RNA (253 nucleotides) under uncultured bacterium. RNAcentral describes it as "partial 16S ribosomal RNA". It matches the Rfam family "Bacterial small subunit ribosomal RNA", at positions 524 to 776 of the family's 1533-position model. The record is from RNAcentral.